Molecule: long non-coding RNA, 1155 nt
Organism: Cercocebus atys (sooty mangabey)
Lineage: Eukaryota; Metazoa; Chordata; Mammalia; Primates; Cercopithecidae
Exons: 2
Source: RefSeq, a predicted model, not a curated record
ACUAGGCUGCGCCGGGGAGUAAACAAGCGGCCGCUAGGGGCGGGCCGGGGGCGUGGGGCUCUGGGCCCGGCCGGUCUGCGGCAGCUCCGGAUGCGCGGGGUGGCCGUGGCCGGGAGAACGCGGGGCGGCGGGCAGGGCCUCCCCAGCCCGCCUGUCCUCGGCCCGCGCGCGGCGCCCGGAGUCCCGUCCUCCCGAGGCUGUCCCCCGCGCCCGGAGGCCGCGCCAAUGCUCUGGGAAGUGCCCGGCUCGGGAGCGGAGCUGCCGCUCGGAAGAACCUCGGGUCCUGGCGCGCCUGAACUUAAAGACCGGACGGAGAGUUAAAUGUGCGAGAGAUGCGCCUUUUUCUUAGGAAAGACCCCCGGGUGCCAGAAAAGUUUUGGACGCGCCGACCUAUGGGGCUAGGAGGGCUGAAGUAAGAACCAGUGACCGAGCGCCCGGAGGUGAAGUUGAUGGAAGAUGUUCAUCGCUCCGGACCCUGCUGGAGGUCUGGGGACGUCGGACACAGCCCCUGCGGUCCCGCCGCGGACCCCGCGAUAAAUACGCAGACACACAAAAUCACUACCGCCUUGAGUCUGGACAGCUACCUCAGGUUGUUAGUAUCUUACAGGAGCAGAGUGGAGCUCGGACCGACUUAGUGUGCGUGCUGGGUUCCGGCGCCCCCGGCCUGCCACCGAGGUCAGCAUCGCAGCCGCGCAGGGAGGCGGCAGUUCUGUCUACGGAAUGACUACAUCUGGUGAUUCCACUUCUCAUAGCUCGCCGCUGGGAGGAAAAUACCACCUCGGGACUCACAAGAUCUAUUCCAGAGGAUCCGCACUGGUGAAUUGAUUUUAGAAGACAGUGUGGUCUGUUGACAGUAUGGAAGGUUCUUUACCCAUUAGAUAUGAUCUGUCUGUGAUUGGAAGGAAACAGACCAGAUGCUAACACUUCUCUUGUAGAUGUUCAGAUUCAGUAAUUUUGUAUUUUUCUCUACGCUUUUGUUUUUUCAAAUUUCCUAGCACAGGAAGACUUUGACUUACUGCGCAUGUCAUUUUAAAUGACCUUUAUGAAGACUAUAGAACAAUUUGCUAGUCAUGAAAGUAACAUUCAAAUAAAGUAUGUACAUUGUGGCCACAAAGUAAACUUGUGUGGAAAGUAAUGUGCAAAAAAAAAAAAAAA